RNAcentral lists this ribosomal RNA (450 nucleotides) under uncultured bacterium. RNAcentral describes it as "partial 16S ribosomal RNA". It matches the Rfam family "Bacterial small subunit ribosomal RNA", at positions 354 to 796 of the family's 1533-position model. The record is from RNAcentral.
GUGGGGAAUAUUGGACAAUGGGCGAAAGCCUGAUCCAGCCAUGCCGCGUGUGUGAAGAAGGUCUUCGGAUUGUAAAGCACUUUAAGUUGGGAGGAAGGGCAGUAAGUUAAUACCUUGCUGUUUUGACGUUACCGACAGAAUAAGCACCGGCUAACUUCGUGCCAGCAGCCGCGGUAAUACGAAGGGUGCAAGCGUUAAUCGGAAUUACUGGGCGUAAAGCGCGCGUAGGUGGUUUUGUAAGUUGGAGGUGAAAUCCCCGGGCUCAACCUGGGAAAUGCCACCAAAACUGCAUGACUAGAGUACGGUAGAGGGUAGUGGAAUUUCCUGUGUAGCGGUGAAAUGCGUAGAUAUAGGAAGGAACACCAGUGGCGAAGGCGACUACCUGGACUGAUACUGACACUGAGGUGCGAAAGCGUGGGGAGCAAACAGGAUUAGAUACCCGAGUAGUCC